CUGACUUCAAGUGAUCUGUGUGCUUCGGCCUCCCAAAGUGCUGGGAUUACAAGCAUGAGCCACCACACCUGGCCUUGGGUUUAUUUCAGUUGAAUAUUCACCAUUUUCAUGGCUGUCCAAGUUUGAAAAUGUAGUCACCUUUAUUUCCUCUCUCUGAUUUCUUACAGCCUUACUGGCAUCAGUCUCUUUCUUUUUGUAUCAUUCACAUUCAUUGUCUUUCAUUUUCUCACAGCUACCAUGUGAGCCACAGGUUCUCACAGUAACUUGUACACAUAACCUGUCACAUCUGGAUUACUCUGGUUUGCCUGCCUUUUCUCACUCCUCUCUAACCUUCAUACUGAUUCCCUACAGCCUGGAUUUCCUUUAAGUAUCUAUAAUGACUCCUUUCAUAUCAGAUUCAGACUUCUGGUUUUGGUAUUCAAAGUGUCCAGAUCUGAAAACAACUUUGCUGUCUAAGCAUGGUUUACAUAUUUACUUUCAAUUUCCUAUUCCCUAACUGCCAUUCCCCAUUCAGGGGUACUAGACUAAACAAGAUUAAAUCUUUUUUUUUCUUGAUUUCCCUAAACCAGGAUGUAUAAUGGUCAUUUCAUAUGAUUCUAUUUUGGUAGCAUUAUUUGACAUAUGAGAAAUGCAAAGCAACAGAGACAGAGUGAUGCAAGCCAAUGGCACGCCUUUGUGCUGCAGAUAAAGAAAUUGAGGCAGACAGAGGUUAGAGGAUUUGAACUGAUGUUGCCAGGACUUGAAACCAGACAGUAGCUUAUGCUAGAGUCUGUGUUCUUGGCUACCAUACUAUCUGCUGUUCUGCUGAUGACCUGGGGAAAGCCUCAUUCACUGGCAAAAGAGAACAAAGGACCAUGGAAUGUGGAACCUUACCCAGCCUGCUGCUCAGGAGGCGAUUGCUCAAGGCUGUCUUAUGCAGAGGGGUCAACAGUUGACCCACGAACCAUUUAAACUGGAAGGAAGAAUUAACCAAUACCCUGAGAGAUUGGCUACAACUACUUUUCCCUGAAAGUUAGAGUGCAGAGUGCAGGAGAGGAAGGCCAUUUACUAAUUUUCCUGUUUCCUUCACCAGUCUUCUACCUCUCCGUAGCUAAGGUCCUUCACUCAAUAUACUCAAGUCAUCUCUGCUAUGACUGCAUUCCCACAUGCCACGGCAUAUAAAAGCCUGUGAAGAAAAAACCAACACCGAGAAUUUUUUCCAUCCCUCACUUUCCUUUGAGAACUCAACAACCCAAGCAACCUUGACCUUUUCCCAAAUACCAUUUAGGAGAAGUCACUGGCAGUUUAAGAAAAAGAUUUUUUUAAAAAGUUUCAGGGUGAGACAUCUUCCAACAUAAACUUUAAACUUCAUUCUUAGCAUCAAAGCAGCAAUAUUUUUGUGGAAUUGCCUUCAAGCAAAUGCUUAUAGAUGCAACUGGAGUCAGCAGGAAACCUUCUAUGAUGCUUCAAUCAUUCCCAAGGAGAAAGAUACUGGAAAAUGUGAUCUGAAGUGUAAAUUUAUAGAGCAAGGUCAUAACCGACAGUUAAUAUGCUUAUAGGUGGAAGAAACAUGUUUUGAGUCUCAGAUGAGACUUGCGGCUUUGGACUUUGAGUUCACACUGGAACCAAUUAAGAUUUUGAGGAAGACUAUUAGGAAGGGAUGAUUGUAUUUUGCAUUGCGAGAAGGACAUGAGAUUUGGGGGACGAGGGGCAGAAUGAUAUACUUUGGAUGUUUGUCUUCUCCAAAUCUCAUGUUGAAAUGUGAUCCCCAAUGUUGGAAGUGAAGCCUGGUGGGAGGUGUUAGGGUCAUGGGGGCAGAUCUCUCAUGAAUGGCUUGGUGCCUACCCCACAAUAAUGAGUGGCAAUGAGUUUACAUGAGGUCUGGUUGUUUAAAAAGAGUGUGGCAUCUCUCCCCUCUCUCUCUCGUUGUCUUUCUCACCACGUGAUAGGUCUGCACCCCCUUGGCCUUCUGCCAUGAUUGGAAGCUUCCUUAGGCCCUUACCAGAAGCAGAUGCUAGCAUCAUACUUCCUGUACAGCCUGCAGAACUGUGAACCAAAAUAAACCUCUUUUCUUUAUAAAUUA
Symphalangus syndactylus (siamang) is the source of this 2062-nucleotide long non-coding RNA. RefSeq lists it as uncharacterized. The record is from RefSeq and is a predicted model, not a curated record. NCBI's taxonomy places the organism in Eukaryota, Metazoa, Chordata, Mammalia, Primates, Hylobatidae.